Molecule: ribosomal RNA, 114 nt
Filed under: Periophthalmus magnuspinnatus
Lineage: Eukaryota; Metazoa; Chordata; Actinopteri; Gobiiformes; Gobiidae
Source: RNAcentral
UGAAGUGGCUCAACUACCAAAGCCUGAUCUCAUUAGAUAUCAGAAGCUAAGCAGGGCUUGGCCUGGUUAGUACUUGGAUGGGAGAUCACCAGGGAAUAUCAGGUGCCACAGUGG